CUCAAUAAUAAUGCUGAAUAUACAAGGUCAUUACAUGUCACAAAUCUAACAAAAGCAAGAGAGACCUUGUACAACGAAAAGACAAUAUGUGCAGCACUGAAUGAGAUGCACCUGACCCCAGACAUAUUGGUUGUGGAAGUUUAUAUGUACAUAUGGCAGGUUAUGUACUACUCAGAACUGACUACAGAAUACAGAAACAAGGAGAAAUAGUGAUCUUCAUCCAAGAAGACCUGGCAACAAAUGUCCUCCUCUCUCACUCCAACACAAAUAAUGUAUUAUACGCUAAUAAUACAUGUGAUUGACCUCAAUUUGAUCAUAGGCAUUACCUACAGUCUUCCUGAUGCAG
Octopus sinensis (East Asian common octopus) is the source of this 346-nucleotide long non-coding RNA. RefSeq lists it as uncharacterized. The record is from RefSeq and is a predicted model, not a curated record. Lineage: Eukaryota; Metazoa; Mollusca; Cephalopoda; Octopoda; Octopodidae. The transcript is spliced from 3 exons.